This 210-nucleotide long non-coding RNA is filed under the name Oryctolagus cuniculus (rabbit). RNAcentral describes it as "lncRNA (ENSOCUG00000030929.1)". Lineage: Eukaryota; Metazoa; Chordata; Mammalia; Lagomorpha; Leporidae. The record is from RNAcentral.
AGAGCAGCCGGGACUCAAACCUUGCCCACAUGGGAUACUGGCACUGCAGAUGGCAGCUUAACCCAUUGUGCCACAACACCAGCCCCUCUUCUUUCACUUUUUAAUUAAGGCUUGGGAUUUAUUUAGCUUUUCUCUCUUCCCUAAGGGUACAGGUGGAUUCCACUGGGCCUCAGGAAGGGACUUGAGGACACCUGAUCCUCUGUCGAUGUA